GGGUUCAGUGGUAGAACAUCUGCUUUGCAUGCAGAAGGUCACAGAUUCAAUUCCCAGCACCU
RNAcentral lists this transfer RNA (62 nucleotides) under Podarcis lilfordi (Lilford's wall lizard). RNAcentral's name for it is "tRNA.Ala". Lineage: Eukaryota; Metazoa; Chordata; Lepidosauria; Squamata; Lacertidae. The record is from RNAcentral.